Paralichthys olivaceus (Japanese flounder) is the source of this 186-nucleotide non-coding RNA. Lineage: Eukaryota; Metazoa; Chordata; Actinopteri; Pleuronectiformes; Paralichthyidae. The record is from RefSeq and is a predicted model, not a curated record.
CUCUGACAGAGCUCAGUCCUAGUGGAGUAACUUCACCGGGCAGACUGUCCCUGUCGUCAAAGAAGUUUGACUACCGACAGUUUGCCGCCAUUCCUUCUUCCAAACCCGUAUACGACAUCCAGUCUCCUGACACAGUCGACGACCUGCAGUUUAUUGACGACGGCUCCAGCAACCCAGGUGAGAACC